UGACAGUACUCCUACGGGGAGGCAGCAGUGGGGGAAUAUUGCACAAUGGGCGCAAGCCUGAUGCAGCCAUGCCGCGUGUGUGAAGAAGGCCUUCGGGUUGUAAAGCACUUUCAGUCGUGAGGAAGGUAGUGUAGUUAUAGCUGCAUUAUUUGACGUUAGCGACAGAAGAAGCACCGGCUAACUCCGUGCCAGCAGCCGCGGUAAUACGGAGGGUGCGAGCGUUAAUCGGAAUUACUGGGCGUAAAGCGCAUGCAGGUGGUUUGUUAAGUCAGAUGUGAAAGCCCGGGGCUCAACCUCGGAAUAGCAUUUGAAACUGGCAGACUAGAGUACUGUAGAGGGGGGUAGGAAUUUCAGGUGUAGCGGUGAAAUGCGUAGAGAUCUGAAGGAAUACCGGUGGCGAAGGCGGCCCCCUGGACAGAUACUGACACUCAGAUGCGAAAGCGUGGGGAGCAAACAGGAUUAGAUACCCUGGUAG
RNAcentral lists this ribosomal RNA (475 nucleotides) under uncultured bacterium. RNAcentral describes it as "bacterial SSU rRNA". It matches the Rfam family "Bacterial small subunit ribosomal RNA", at positions 328 to 793 of the family's 1533-position model. The record is from RNAcentral.